AAGUCGUAACAAGGUUUCCGUAGGUGAACCUGCGGAAGGAUCUUUUAUUGGAAUUGGAUGGGCAUUGGGCUAGCUGGCUUGGCUUGUCCAUCCUUUGGCUGCAUGUGCUCGCCCCAGCAAUCCUUUUCCAAACACCUGUGCACCUUCCUUGUGAGAAUGGGAGAGAAAGGGCUUGCCUCUUUUAUCUCGUCUCAUGAUUCAUAAACGCUGUUUGUAAUGUUGAAUGCAUUUAUGCCGUCAAGGCUUUAACCUAAUACAA
This 259-nucleotide unclassified non-coding RNA is filed under the name plant metagenome. Its description in RNAcentral is "partial contains small subunit ribosomal RNA and internal transcribed spacer 1". The stretch from base 1 to 46 matches the Rfam family "Eukaryotic small subunit ribosomal RNA", at positions 1786 to 1831 of the family's 1831-position model. The record is from RNAcentral.